RNAcentral lists this long non-coding RNA (202 nucleotides) under Elaeis guineensis (African oil palm). RNAcentral describes it as "long non-coding RNA (EGUI_LNC014693)". Lineage: Eukaryota; Viridiplantae; Streptophyta; Magnoliopsida; Arecales; Arecaceae. The record is from RNAcentral.
GGCUAACUCAGGCCACUUAUUCAAGCUAAAUCAAUUUAAAUAGAGAAACUAGGCUCGGACUAGAAAUUAGGGCCCAUGAUCGGGCUGAAAUUCAGGCUCGAACCUGCGCUAGACCAAAGAUAUGCUUGAGCACAGCCCGAAAGACAAAUGGACCCUAUAUUCAGGCCCAAACCUGGCCUUAACUAUUUUGGAUUGAGCCCAA